UCUCUCCAAGAACACAACCCUCCCUCAAUACAUACAUUCUGAAAUAUUGAUUGUAAUGUAUCAUUUAACAGGUGAGUUUCACUUAAUCGACGUAAAAAGAGCAGCAACAGAUAGCAGAGUCCAGACCAAAUUACGAAGAACAGAGCACUGAAAACGUACGGGAAUUCCCAGUGCCUACAGAGGAACAGUGAGAAGACUCUUCCAAACAGGAAGCAGAAACAAAUCCGGUGAAAACCUGGAAUGGCAGAGGAGGCACACCAUGGCAUUUGUUCCAGACAUCACCGUGCCAUUUUAUGGGAGGGACUGCGUGUCUUUGGCGGAGACCUUCAGCCUGCAGAAAAGACAACUGGUUACCGCGCAUUGUCAAAGCCUCAGGUGAAGUAGAAGUUCCUGUGAUGAGGGGAAUGGAGCUCACAGAUCCUAAAGUUCUAGCGAGCACCGCGGGAUGCCCCCGCCAGCCCAUGCACCGCGCCAUUCCGAACGCCCGCAUUUGUUCAGUUCACCUCCAGGGGAAGCAACAGCCAUCAGCCAGCGGGGACGUGCUCCUCAAUUUCAUCAGAGACAAAGAACUCUACCUCUUCUCUGUCGCCAGCGCCUCGGCAACACUGCACUCCAAGCUGUAGUCUGAGACUGUGGAGGAAGAGCCAGUGUGGAGAGAGUCUUACCGAAAGGCAAGCUGGGGAACAUCUAUCCACUGACAUCGCCAGUAGGACGUGGGAUCCGUCUGCUCCACGCGGUGCCCUCCAGCGCACUGUGGUACAGACCUGUGCCCAUGGGGCCCUGGCCCCUCUGAACAGCGCGUCCCCAGUGAGGUUUGAAUUAUAUGUAGAUCAGCGUCUGCCUGCUGCCACCACCUCUCCCUCCCUCUGGAUCCAGAAGAGGACUGUGCGGCAGUGUUCUUCUCGUCCCCUAUUAAGAGCAUCCACAGAAGAAACGUCUCUUUGGUUUAGCGUUAAGGAAACUUGGGGUUUUAUGCCACAGACACCUCACAUCUCCACUGUCACGGUUUUCUCUUCACUUUCGCUGCUAAGAACAUAUGAGCUAAAUUUGCGAACUACCUCUACCAAUUGUCCAAACAUGAGCACAUAUAUAUCAGAGGUAUUUUGUCUUGACUUUAUUUUUUCCCUUCCCAUGCUUUUUUUUAAACUCGGAAUUAUUCAACCACUUUUUCUAUUGGGGUGAUUGGGAUGCGUACCUUAAGUCUGCUUUGGAACAAUGCAGGAUAUGAAUUAACAGACCAUAAGCCACGUCUGGCAGUGCAAACCUGUAACCCUAGCUACUAAGGAGGCUGAGGCAGGAGGAUUGCAUGUUCAAGGUCAGCCUGGGCAAGUUGCUGAGGCCCAAAAUAAAAAAUAAAAAAGGCUGGGGAUGUCGCUCAGUGGUAGCAUGCUUUUCUAACUCAAUCCCUGGGCUCAGUUCCCAGCAGUGCAAAAAAGAAAAAAAAAGUUAAACAAGAUAGGCUUUCUUCAGCUUUGUGAAUCCACACAGAACGAAGAAUAUCUUUUACCACCUCCUUAAUUACUGUUGCUGUGAGUGCCAGAAUCACACGAGAUGGGGAAAGAAGUGACAGAAGGGGUGGGAGCCAGAAGGGAAGGUAGGAAGUCUCACUCUCGGUAGCAAAGAAGAAAGUGAGUUUCUAUGGCUACGGGGUCACUUCUGAGGAAAGUUAAGGGCUGCAAGUUGGGAACUGCUUGAACUAAAUCCGAAGGUUACCCUGAAGAGCCCGACACACCCAGUUUGUACAAUAUGAGCAUGUCAUUGCCAGGAGACAUAUUUAUGAAGUAGGUUUGUUCAUAAUAUCGCAUAACUAAUUAAUACAUCACCAUUUGGCCCACACACAUAUGCAGUUCUAAAAAUUAUCCCAAACCUGUUACUAUACUUUCCACAAAUACAAUUAAGAAAGCAGCUUGAUUAAAAAACAAAACACGUGAACAAUGCAGAAAAAUUGCUUUGGGUAAGUCCCAUGGUGGUACCUUCAAUCAAAAGUAGCCAUAUAGCUGCAAUCUAUGGAGACUUGAAUGUUUUUCUUUUUAAUUAAAAAUUUUUUUUUGUCUUUUUCAGGCAGUGUCUCGCUAUGCAGUUCAGGCUAGCCUUCAACUCACUUUGUAGCCCAGGCUGGCCUUGAACUCAAAGCAAUCUUCCUGCCUCAGCUUCCCAAAUACUGGCAUUACAUGUGUGCAACACCGCUGUUUAAUGUAGGAACCAUGGUGAUCAGAUCAUUAGAAGCCACUUUGAUGCAGUGUGCAUAUUCCUGUGUAGCUGGCAUUUGUCCAUGUGGCAUAGCUCACAGGAGGGAAGAUGUUACAUCAGAAUGUUUAGAAAGCUCUCGGCACCCAUAUUGUUUUAGUGUGGGGUCUGAGGGCUGGCAGGCACCUUGACACCUCACACUCCUCAGCACAUACAUUGCCUCCCUUCUUUCUCUGAAUCUCCCUCAUCAGGACCCUCUUCUCAGGUAGGAAACAAACCUCUCAAGACUUGUUAUCAUAAACAGUAUUAUUAGUACUCAUGUUGUGCUUAUAAACUACAGUGUACUUACAAACAGAGACCUAGGGAAAAAAAAUUAACUACUUUAAAAAAAAAGAAAUCAAGACUAGGUCACACAACUUAAGUGAAAACUUCCCUACCCUUGAUAAAUGGCAAGUGCAACAAAAAGUUAAUCUGGGGUCUUUGGACAAUUACCUCAUAUGUAGAGGCUUUAACAACGUGAAUAUUUUCAUGUUAAAAUUAUCUCUUCAUGGUGCGUCCUUCAUGGGGCAUUCAAAGUCGUUUCCCUCCUAAUCCUACAGCUCCAGUGACAUGAUUCAAUCCGCUUCUCCAAUCACAACACAAGAGAUGCACUACAAGUUUGAAUUUCACAUCACAAUCAGUUUUAGUCCUGUUAUUUGCCGAAGUCUGGAAUGUGUUGCAUUCGUUUGUGGAAUAAACAUAUAUAUGUCACUUGUGGGAUAUAUUAUAUAUGCACACACACGUGUAUGUGUACGUAUUUGACUCCCCCUGUCAUUUUAGAGUCAAUACUUCUGGCACUUAGGAGGUUUUCCCUUCUCCUCCUAAGCAGUGUGCUUUAU
Molecule: long non-coding RNA, 3065 nt
Organism: Chinchilla lanigera (long-tailed chinchilla)
Lineage: Eukaryota; Metazoa; Chordata; Mammalia; Rodentia; Chinchillidae
Source: Ensembl